UUGUAAGGAGGAAGUUUAACACGGUUUCUGUAGGUGAACCUGCGGAAGGAUCAUUG
This 56-nucleotide ribosomal RNA is filed under the name Convolvulus arvensis. RNAcentral describes it as "partial small subunit ribosomal RNA". The record is from RNAcentral. Lineage: Eukaryota; Viridiplantae; Streptophyta; Magnoliopsida; Solanales; Convolvulaceae.